Molecule: small RNA, 75 nt
Filed under: Salix viminalis (osier)
Lineage: Eukaryota; Viridiplantae; Streptophyta; Magnoliopsida; Malpighiales; Salicaceae
Source: RNAcentral
GUCUCUAAUGACGAAGAAAAUUGAUGGUCUUUUCUUCUCUGGUCAGAUCAAUGGGACAACAGGGUAUGAAGAGGC